RNAcentral lists this transfer RNA (75 nucleotides) under Bacillota bacterium. Its description in RNAcentral is "tRNA-Ala". It matches the Rfam family "tRNA". From Rfam's summary of the family: Transfer RNA (tRNA) molecules are approximately 80 nucleotides in length. Their secondary structure includes four short double-helical elements and three loops (D, anti-codon, and T loops). RNAcentral also lists the same sequence under 1 other name. The record is from RNAcentral. Lineage: Bacteria; Bacillati; Bacillota.
GGGCGUGUGGCUCAGUGGGAGAGCGUUCGGUUCGCAUCCGAAAGGUCGCGGGUUCAAAUCCCGCCACGUCCACCA